This 253-nucleotide ribosomal RNA is filed under the name uncultured prokaryote. Its description in RNAcentral is "partial 16S ribosomal RNA". It matches the Rfam family "Bacterial small subunit ribosomal RNA", at positions 524 to 776 of the family's 1533-position model. The record is from RNAcentral.
UACAGAGGUCUCAACCGUUGUUCGGAUUCAUUGGGCGUAAAGGGUGCGUAGGCGGUCGCGCAAGUCGGAUGUGAAAUCCCGGGGCUCAACCCCGGAACUGCAUCCGAUACUGCCGGACUUGAGGACUGGAGAGGUGACUGGAAUUCUCGGUGUAGCAGUGAAAUGCGUGGAUAUCGAGAGGAACACUCGUGGCGUAAGCGAGUCACUGGACAGUAUCUGACGCUGAGGCACGAAGGCCAGGGUAGCGAAAGGG